AGGGGAAUAGUUUAAGGGUAGAAUAGCGGUCGCCAAAACCGUUGAUGGGAGUUCGAAUCUCUCUUCCCCUG
This 71-nucleotide transfer RNA is filed under the name Bacteroidales bacterium. RNAcentral describes it as "tRNA-Trp". It matches the Rfam family "tRNA". Rfam says of the family: Transfer RNA (tRNA) molecules are approximately 80 nucleotides in length. Their secondary structure includes four short double-helical elements and three loops (D, anti-codon, and T loops). The record is from RNAcentral. Lineage: Bacteria; Pseudomonadati; Bacteroidota; Bacteroidia; Bacteroidales.